GAUUAUGAUGACUGUUGCUUUAGUAUUUCUGACACCUCUUGUAUGAGAAGAGCCUUUAUUGGCCCUUUUGUGAGCACACAAAGCAUCUAUCUACC
This is a small nucleolar RNA of Salvia hispanica, 95 nucleotides long. RefSeq annotates it as small nucleolar RNA snoR1. Lineage: Eukaryota; Viridiplantae; Streptophyta; Magnoliopsida; Lamiales; Lamiaceae. The record is from RefSeq and is a predicted model, not a curated record.